GUAGGUGGUUCAGCAAGUUGGAUGUGAAAUCCCCGGGCUCAACCUGGGAACUGCAUCCAAAACUACUGAGCUAGAGUACGGUAGAGGGUGGUGGAAUUUCCUGUGUAGCGGUGAAAUGCGUAGAUAUAGGAAGGAACACCAGUGGCGAAGGCGACCACCUGGACUGAUACUGACACUGAGGUGCGAAAGCGUGGGGAGCAAACAGGAUUAGA
Molecule: ribosomal RNA, 212 nt
Filed under: Pseudomonas aeruginosa
Lineage: Bacteria; Pseudomonadati; Pseudomonadota; Gammaproteobacteria; Pseudomonadales; Pseudomonadaceae
Description: partial 16S ribosomal RNA
Rfam family: Bacterial small subunit ribosomal RNA
Source: RNAcentral